GUAAGGAAUAUUGGACAAUGGACGCAAGUCUGAUCCAGCCAUGCCGCGUGAAGGAUUAAGGUCCUCUGGAUUGUAAACUUCUUUUAUAAGGGACGAAAAAAGGCUUUUCUAAGUCGUCUGACGGUACCUUAUGAAUAAGCACCGGCUAACUCCGUGCCAGCAGCCGCGGUAAUACGGAGGGUGCAAGCGUUAUCAGGAUUCACUGGGUUUAAAGGGUGCGUAGGCGGGCAGGUAAGUCAGUGGUGAAAUCCUAGAGCUUAACUCUAGAACUGCCAUUGAUACUAUCUGUCUUGAAUAUUGUGGAGGUAAGCGGAAUAUGUCAUGUAGCGGUGAAAUGCUUAGAUAUGACAUAGAACACCUAUUGCGAAGGCAGCUUACUACGCAUAUAUUGACGCUGAGGCACGAAAGCGUGGGGAUCAAACAGAAUUAGAUACCCCGGUAGUCC
This 445-nucleotide ribosomal RNA is filed under the name uncultured bacterium. Its description in RNAcentral is "partial 16S ribosomal RNA". It matches the Rfam family "Bacterial small subunit ribosomal RNA", at positions 354 to 796 of the family's 1533-position model. The record is from RNAcentral.